Molecule: transfer RNA, 74 nt
Filed under: Neoehrlichia mikurensis
Lineage: Bacteria; Pseudomonadati; Pseudomonadota; Alphaproteobacteria; Rickettsiales; Anaplasmataceae
Also listed under: 1 other name
Description: Candidatus Neoehrlichia mikurensis tRNA-Thr
Rfam family: tRNA
About the family: Transfer RNA (tRNA) molecules are approximately 80 nucleotides in length. Their secondary structure includes four short double-helical elements and three loops (D, anti-codon, and T loops).
Source: RNAcentral
GCCGACUUAGCUCAAUUUGGUAGAGCAAUUGACUUGUAAUCAGUAGGUUGUCAGUUCGAUUCUGACAGUCGGCA